Molecule: long non-coding RNA, 1956 nt
Filed under: Mus musculus (house mouse)
Lineage: Eukaryota; Metazoa; Chordata; Mammalia; Rodentia; Muridae
Description: RIKEN cDNA 1810019D21 gene
Source: RNAcentral
AGGGGGGUGGGUGGCACUCUGAAGGCUAUCCAGCACGAUCCGGCCCUUUCCCUUGGCAAUUCUGUGACACUUUCCAAUCUAAGGCCGACAGAGCAAGGCAACCAGAUUUUUUUCUACAGCACCCUCCCAGGUGAGCAGUGGGCCUGGAGCCCUUCUGUAACCUGGCAUCUGUAGGUCUUCUCAUUAAGAACGAGAGUCAGAAGAGGAAAGGACUUAACACUCAUUACAACUCAGUCAUGGGGCUCUGAAGCGUCCCGAGGUCCCCUCUUUCCCACCCUACCUGUCGGCUGCGCGGCUCCACCACUUGCCAAACUAGGAGGAUUAAGUCGGUCUCGUCCGAGCCUAGGUCCGGCCCCAGCGCACCGGCAGUGGCCCCGAACAAAACCACCAGCGACUGAGCAGGCACUCUGAGUCCUCCGCAAAAGAAUGUGCAGGAUCAGAGGCCUCUUUCCAUUCUGCAAGGGUCACGCAAGACCCAUGGAAUUCAACAGGAGGCAAUCUAGGGACUAUAAAAGGUCGCGACGUCUGGCUUGAGGUUAAUGGAAGUUACAAAGGGUCAAAAGCCGACAGUGAGCGCUACCAGGUAUCCACUGGAAGUCGGUGAGAGAGAUCCGUUGGGGAAAGGGAGGGAGGUAAAGAUCAAGGGUUCUUAGAACUGUGGGCGGUCACUAGAGAUCACAGAGAAGGACGUGCCCAUACAGGUGUCGGGUCGGCGUAGUGCCGGCAGUGCAAGGCGCACGUUACUGUGGACCUGAAGGCUCAGGCCUUGGUGCCAAGGUAGGAAAAUCGUGCUUAAACUUUAGAGAGCUGUAUCCUAAAUGAAGCCGUGUCUGCUGGUAGAGAUCUGGAAGUUCAGCCUACCAACCCCACUUGGGGUUUGCCUGCUUGUUUUUGUCUCUCUUGGAUGAUGAUAGAAGUGUUAUCUGGCUAUUGAAAGCACUCCAGCAGAGAGCGGCUAGAGUUGAGAUGUGUAGAGUUGAGUCUGCAUCCCCCAACCCAGUUCAGAAGAGUCCCAUUCAUCCCAUGCAGUUUGGUGAAACUCCCUUACUGUUGUUUCCAGGCCGCCCUGUGGGCUCAGGAUAGUUUCCCACCUACUCGACUGUAAUUAGUACUCUGGCGAGAGUAAAAAGGUACUGGCGUGGGACUUAGAAUACAGGAUGCCACCGGCUGAAGAAGAACCUUGUGUGUUUGGAAAAGCGGGCUGCUUCCUAUCGGUCUUGGAUAAAAGGCAACCCAGAGCCCGGGUGCAUCCCUAACUCAUGCCCAAGGAAGGUCGUGCGGAGCCAGAGGACCUAGAAUGUAUAGUGCGCCUUCUGGGUUUGUCCACACAAUAGCGCAGGAACACAGCGACCCAAUAUAGUGAGAAGUGGCCGCAGCGCACACCCUGAGACCCUUCACCAGGCGGCCCACCCGGAGCCUGCCUACUCAGCCCCGCUACCACGAUAAGCCUGGAAUGUCAAAUAUUUGUUCUAGGAACCCAGUGAAACCUUGAGGUAAAGCCCCUCCCCUCCUCCCUCCCAUUCCGGAGCGCGCCUGCGUCAGUCCAGGCUUUCCGGUAAGGACACUCCCUUCCAACUAGUUCCUUCUCGACACCCCUGCAACCCAUCGUCCUGACUAUUUAAACUUCACAAGGUCUUCGCUACAGGCUCAGGUUCAGUGAGGCAGAGUCUUGGCUUCCCUACCCAGUUAUCCCAGAGCUACUGGUAUCGGUUUCUACCCACAACCUCCGAGCAAGGCUCCCCUUUCAACCUGUAGACCUCGCCUCCCGAUUCUCGGGAGAUCUUGCUGACUGUGGAAUCCCUGGCUGUUCCGAACCCCCUGGAAAGAAGCGGCUGUUCCCAGGUUUCUGCAAGGUAACGAAUCUGAAGAGUCAACAGAAUUGAGCGGCUCCAUUCAUUCGACUCUGGUUCUCUCAACCAGGCAUUCCCCAUAUUAAAACAAUUCCAGAACUUCAAA